GGUCCUUCCACUUCUAGAAAAGGAUUGUGGGACGGCAGGUCGGUCUUUCUUCCUUUUGGUGCGAGCUUGGUGUGGUUUUUGCGCUGGGUCUUCCGGGAUGGCGCUUGGCUGUGGCCGCGUGGUCUCUCACGCCGGGACGCCGGGCAGGGGAACGCGGCCACCCUGAGUCUGGUGAGUCGACUGCGGCGGCCGGACCGUGUCCGAGGUGUCCGGGGCCGUGAACGCGUGAAGGGUGGAAGAUGGAUGCCUGAAGUGUAGACUGCUGCUAGCUCAAUACCAUCUGGGAGCACAAAGGUGACCAGAAGGAUGUCCUUGGUGAAGAGUUUGAAAAUUUGGUCUUCACAAGAGUUGCUUGGCUCAUUUGAAAUUGCCGGGAGUCUGAGGAUUUCUGACAUAACUGCCUGUUGGAGUCUGUAAAUACACACUUAAGACAGUGAGGAUGUGAAUAAAUAUAUUAAUGCACUUCGAC
RNAcentral lists this long non-coding RNA (469 nucleotides) under Theropithecus gelada (gelada). RNAcentral describes it as "lncRNA (ENSTGEG00000010011.1)". Lineage: Eukaryota; Metazoa; Chordata; Mammalia; Primates; Cercopithecidae. The record is from RNAcentral.